RNAcentral lists this ribosomal RNA (365 nucleotides) under uncultured Latescibacterota bacterium. Its description in RNAcentral is "bacterial SSU rRNA". It matches the Rfam family "Bacterial small subunit ribosomal RNA", at positions 1020 to 1382 of the family's 1533-position model. The record is from RNAcentral. Lineage: Bacteria; Pseudomonadati; Candidatus Latescibacterota.
UUCGGAACCGUGAGACAGGUGCUGCAUGGCUGUCGUCAGCUCGUGUCGUGAGAUGUUGGGUUAAGUCCCGCAACGAGCGCAACCCUUAUCCCUAGUUGCCAUCAGGUAAAGCUGGGAACUCUGGGGAGACUGCCGGUGAUAAACCGGAGGAAGGCGGGGAUGACGUCAAGUCCUCAUGGCCCUUACAUCCCGGGCUACACACGUGCUACAAUGGCAGGUACAGGAGGGCUGCGAGCCGCGAGGUGGAAGCCGAAAUCCCAGAAACCUGUCUCAGUCCGGAUUGAAGUCUGCAACUCGACUUCAUGAAGGCGGAAUCGCUAGUAACCGCGAAUCAGCAGGUCGCGGUGAAUACGUUCCCGGGCCUU